This is a non-coding RNA of Erinaceus europaeus (western European hedgehog), 345 nucleotides long. The record is from Rfam. Lineage: Eukaryota; Metazoa; Chordata; Mammalia; Eulipotyphla; Erinaceidae.
GGAUGUGAGGGUGAUCUGGCUGCGACACCUGUCACCCCACUGAUCGCCAGGGUUGAUUCGGCUGAUCUGGCUGACUAGGCGGGUGUCCCCUUCCUCCCUCACCGCUCCAUGUGCGUCCCUCCCGAAGCUGCGCGCUCAGUCGAAGAGGACGGCCUUCCCCGAAUAGAGACGGACCGGUCUUCGGCCGAGGGUGUACGAGUAGCUGCGCUCCCCUGCUAGAACCUCCAAACAAGCUCUCAAGAAUCCACUGCUCCUGGCAGUCAUUUCCCCAUUUUAUUGAAUAGUGACACAGAAAUUGAGAGGGGAGGGGGGGAGAGACACUUGCAGACCUGCUUCACUGCUUGU